Molecule: long non-coding RNA, 518 nt
Filed under: Mytilus galloprovincialis (Mediterranean mussel)
Lineage: Eukaryota; Metazoa; Mollusca; Bivalvia; Mytilida; Mytilidae
Source: RNAcentral
GAAGUAAACAUAUUGGCUAAUACUGCUUUUGCAAAUUUGUAGCUUUUCUUUCUUAUAAUGUAUUGAAGUAUGUACAUGUAUGCCUCGAGUAUUGUGUUAGACCAAAAACACCGAAAAAAGAACCUUUAUAUUUUUUAAUUUAUUUUUUUACUUUAUACGAAAAGAAAACUUAGUAAUGUUGUAAAUAAAUGACAAAGAGAAAAGAUAGAAGAAAGCUUUUCUUUCAAAGCUUUCUCAAUAUAUGAUGUAAAUUAAGAACAGAGAAGAAAAAAAAGAAAACAACUUUACCUUCUCAAAUGAAUUGAAUAUAUGCUAGUUUGGUAUUGUAGUUGAAGAAAGUGGUAAUCAUUAUAAAUUUAUAGAACAGUUUAGUUUAUAUGGAAGAGAGAAAAAAAAAUGAUGUCGAAUUGGUAGAUAAUGACCGAGAAUAGAACGAAAAAAACUAUAAAUAUUAACGACAAGAUUGACAAUAGAAACUUUUGCUAUAAAAAGUAUUUUAACAGCAGAAAAAGGAAGCA